GAAGCUGACCAGACAGUCGCCGCUUCGUCGUCGUCCUCCUUCGGGGGGAGACGGGCGGAGGGGAGGAAAGUCCGGGCUCCAUAGGGCAAGGUGCCAGGUAACGCCUGGGGGGUGUCACAGCCCACGACCAGUGCAACAGAGAGCAAACCGCCGAUGGCCCGCGCAAGCGGGAUCAGGUAAGGGUGAAAGGGUGCGGUAAGAGCGCACCGCGCGGCUGGUAACAGUCCGCGGCACGGUAAACUCCACCCGGAGCAAGGCCAAAUAGGGUUCAUAAGGUACGGCCCGUACUGAACCCGGGUAGGCUGCUUGAGCCAGUGAGCGAUUGCUGGCCUAGAUGAAUGACUGUCCACGACAGAACCCGGCUUAUCGGUCAGUUUCACCU
RNAcentral lists this RNase P RNA (382 nucleotides) under Klebsiella pneumoniae. RNAcentral describes it as "RNase P RNA component class A". It matches the Rfam family "Bacterial RNase P class A". Rfam says of the family: Ribonuclease P (RNase P) is a ubiquitous endoribonuclease, found in archaea, bacteria and eukarya as well as chloroplasts and mitochondria. Lineage: Bacteria; Pseudomonadati; Pseudomonadota; Gammaproteobacteria; Enterobacterales; Enterobacteriaceae. The record is from RNAcentral.